RNAcentral lists this ribosomal RNA (220 nucleotides) under uncultured bacterium. Its description in RNAcentral is "partial 16S ribosomal RNA". It matches the Rfam family "Bacterial small subunit ribosomal RNA", at positions 96 to 334 of the family's 1533-position model. The record is from RNAcentral.
UGGCGGACGGGUGAGUAACGCGUGAGAAUCUGCCUUCAGGUCGGGGACAACCACUGGAAACGGUGGCUAAUACCGGAUAUACUUAACGGUGAAAGAUUAAUUGCCUGAAGAGGAGCUCGCGUCUGAUUAGCUAGUUGGUGGGGUAAAAGCCUACCAAGGCGACGAUCAGUAGCUGGUCUGAGAGGACGAUCAGCCACACUGGAACUGAGACACGGUCCAG